Molecule: non-coding RNA, 278 nt
Filed under: unclassified sequences
Description: RAGATH-8 RNA
Rfam family: RAGATH-8 RNA
Source: Rfam by way of RNAcentral
GUCAAUAAGGAAAGCAGGAAAGACCGGACGCAGCGAUAGGGCGGUUCACAAGUAACAUGGUAGUUAUGCUGACAAACGUAUCAGAUGGAGUGAAUGCAGAAUAAACAUGGUCCGGCAAAGCAGUUGAAGAAAGUAGGAACGGUAGGACAAGAAAGCAUAGAGUUCGGAACUAUUUGAAGAAAACUGAACAGGUUGAGCCAAUCAACACUUUACUCCUCUACCAAGAAGCUGUUAAGCGGAAGAAUCAACCGAGCGAGAGGACACAGUACCUUGUUGAC